RNAcentral lists this ribosomal RNA (484 nucleotides) under uncultured bacterium. RNAcentral's name for it is "partial 16S ribosomal RNA". It matches the Rfam family "Bacterial small subunit ribosomal RNA", at positions 30 to 507 of the family's 1533-position model. The record is from RNAcentral.
AUUGAACGCUGGCGGCAGGCCUAACACAUGCAAGUCGAGCGGAUGAAGGGAGCUUGCUCCUGGAUUCAGCGGCGGACGGGUGAGUAAUGCCUAGGAAUCUGCCUGGUAGUGGGGGAUAACGUCCGGAAACGGGCGCUAAUACCGCAUACGUCCUGAGGGAGAAAGUGGGGGAUCUUCGGACCUCACGCUAUCAGAUGAGCCUAGGUCGGAUUAGCUAGUUGGUGGGGUAAAGGCCUACCAAGGCGACGAUCCGUAACUGGUCUGAGAGGAUGAUCAGUCACACUGGAACUGAGACACGGUCCAGACUCCUACGGGAGGCAGCAGUGGGGACUAUUGGACAAUGGGCGAAAGCCUGCUCCAGCCAUGCCGCGUGUGUGAAGAAGGUCUUCGGAUUGUAAAGCACUUUAAGUUGGGAGGAAGGGCAGUAAGUUAAUACCUUGCUGUUUUGACGUUACCAACAGAAUAAGCACCGGCUAACUUCGUG